AGAUCCCACGGAAAUAUAGGAUCCUUUACUAAUCAAGUGUCAUCUGCAGUGUUACAAAAGAAUAUUGGAUUUAUAUCAAUAAGAAAAAAGAACUACCAGAAGGAGACGGUAAAGGGGAACGGACAUAUCACACCAUAAGACAUGCUUCAAUAUCUGAAUAUACAGAGGAUACAGAAUGAAUUUUGCUCACUGCAGAUCCUUGUGAAAGAACACCUUUGUUGUAUUGACAUUAAAACAAAGGAAUUGUCAGGAUUCUUGAACAUAACACAACUGGCUGCAUACGAUGGCAAUUAAAAAAUGCAUACAUGUUUACAUUGAUCUUUGUUAGCCAAUAAGACAAAAAGCAAAAUAGCAAGUUUAUCCUAUUACCAUACAUGUACUGAAUGUAUUCACUUUAUUUUGUUGAACUACAUCAUGAGUUUAAAAAUUGUACAGUAUCAUAUACAGUUUAUGGUGGGAUUCUUCUAACUUUUAUGAAUCUGUUUGCAAAAUCUAUACUUUAAAGUUACAAAUUAUUACCUCUGAUACAUUGUAUGUUUUCUUAGUAAAUUAUUACAGUAUUUUUGUAUGUAUGGAAUGAUAACCGAAUCACUCUCCAUUUUCCCACACUUUUACCAUGUGAUGCUUCAGUGUAUUGAUAUCUAACAACUGAUGACCAGGCAGUCCUCAUUUAACAGUGUAAUUAUAAUACAUAACACAUUUUUAUCUAAAUAUUUUUAAAACAAGGAUAACAUGCCAUGGAUUGAUUCUGCAUACAAAACUUCAUAAUCACUGAGUUUUCUUAUUCAUGUUGUACAUGUAUUUGGAAUAAAAAAGGAAUUGUUAAAAGAAAAGUGAAUUUAAUUCUAUUGUUGUCAAAGGAAGAUAAUAAGACCAGUUUAUUUAUUUACAGAAUUGGUCAAAAGAUAUUGUCAUUGAUAAUUCAUCCAAGAAUCAUAUGUAUAAUAAAUCUACAAAGUCAGUUUGAACGAUAUAAAGGAAAGUUCUUGUUUUUUUUAAUGUAAGUGCAAAAAGGUCAACCAGGUCACCAUGUGUCCAGGUGUACACGUAUAAAUUGUUUUCUGUGGUAUAGAAUGUAAUUUAGAAGAAUAUUACAAAGAAUUUACCUAUUUUCUUUGAAAUAUUUUGAUUAAUUCUAUCUAUCAAAGUCAAAUUGAACGAUAUAAGGGAAAGUUCUUAUCUUUUUCAAUGUAAGUGCGAAAAGGUCAACCAGGGCAACAUGUGUCUAGGUGUACAUGUAUAAAUUGUUUUUGUGAUAUAAAAUGUAAUUUAGAAGAAUAUUACAAAGAAUUUACUCAUUUUCUGUGAAAUAUUUUGAUAAAUUCUUGAUAAUCUCUCUUAGUCACCAUAUUCUUCAAAAGUGCAUCCUUCUAAAGGAAGGGGGUAGGGUAGGGUGUAAGAUAAUAAACUUGUUCCAGGAUGAA
Long non-coding RNA from Saccostrea cuccullata (small rock oyster), 1424 nucleotides. RefSeq lists it as uncharacterized. NCBI's taxonomy places the organism in Eukaryota, Metazoa, Mollusca, Bivalvia, Ostreida, Ostreidae. The transcript has 2 exons. The record is from RefSeq and is a predicted model, not a curated record.